GGGGUUGUGGCUCAGUGGUAGAGUGCUCACCUAGCAUGUGCAAGGCCCUGGGUUUGAUCCUCAGCACCACA
RNAcentral lists this transfer RNA (71 nucleotides) under Marmota monax (woodchuck). Its description in RNAcentral is "tRNA.Ala". Lineage: Eukaryota; Metazoa; Chordata; Mammalia; Rodentia; Sciuridae. The record is from RNAcentral.